GACGAACGCUGGCGGCGUGCUUAACACAUGCAAGUCGAACGGAAAGGCCCUGCUUUUGUGGGGUGCUCGAGUGGCGAACGGGUGAGUAACACGUGAGUAACCUGCCCUUGACUUUGGGAUAACUUCAGGAAACUGGGACUAAUACCGGAUAGGAGCUCCUGCUGCAUGGUGGGGGUUGGAAAGUUUCGGCGGUUGGGGAUGGACUCGCGGCUUAUCAGCUUGUUGGUGGGGUAGUGGCUUACCAAGGCUUUGACGGGUAGCCGGCCUGAGAGGGUGACCGACCACAUUGGGACUGAGAUACGGCCCAGACUCCUACGGGAGGCAGCAGUGGGGAAUAUUGCACAAUGGGCGGAAGCCUGAUGCAGCAACGCCGCGUGCGGGAUGACGGCCUUCGGGUUGUAAACCGCUUUCGCCUGUGACGAAGCGUGAGUGACGGUAAUGGGUAAAGAAGCACCGGCUAACUACGUG
Molecule: ribosomal RNA, 468 nt
Filed under: uncultured bacterium
Lineage: Bacteria
Description: partial 16S ribosomal RNA
Rfam family: Bacterial small subunit ribosomal RNA
Source: RNAcentral